RNAcentral lists this ribosomal RNA (468 nucleotides) under uncultured bacterium. RNAcentral describes it as "partial 16S ribosomal RNA". It matches the Rfam family "Bacterial small subunit ribosomal RNA", at positions 28 to 507 of the family's 1533-position model. The record is from RNAcentral.
GACGAACGCUGGCGGCGUGCUUAACACAUGCAAGUCGAACGGAAAGGCCCUGCUUGUGUGGGGUGCUCGAGUGGCGAACGGGUGAGUAACACGUGAGUAACCUGCCCUUGACUUUGGGAUAACUUCAGGAAACUGGGGCUAAUACCGGAUAGGAGCUCCUGCUGCAUGGUGGGGGUUGGAAAGUUUCGGCGGAUGGGGAUGGACUCGCGGCUUAUCAGCUUGUUGGUGGGGUAGUGGCUUACCAAGGGUUUGACGGGUAGCCGGCCUGAGAGGGUGACCGGCCACAUUGGGACUGAGAUACGGCCCAGACUCCUACGGGAGGCAGCAGUGGGGAAUAUUGCACAAUGGGCGGAAGCCUGAUGCAGCAACGCCGCGUGCGGGAUGACGGCCUUCGGGUUGUAAACCGCUUUCGCCUGUGACGAAGCGUGAGUGACGGUAAUGGGUAAAGAAGCACCGGCUAACUACGUG